AGGGUACUGUGAUGAUAAAACCGAAAGUCCAUCUAAGAGCUCUUAAAAACACUGCUGCAAUGAUAAAGACUAUUAAACUGUCUAAUAAUUCGACCACCUAAAACAGAACAAAAUGAAAGUCCUAAUUUUUUGUUUUUACUUAAAUUCUUGUAAAUUUAUAUUUUUAUUAAUUUGAUAUUCCAUGAAAUAUCAUUCGAAUUUUAGCAUAUUAGAUUAUAGAAUGAAAUAUGUGAAAAAUAUCUUCAGUGAACCUUAGGAUCCAAAAGCUUCUCUCCCACAAGUUCUAUUUUUGGUACCCUAGCAAAUCCCAUUGCAAUAUGACAUAGAAAAAAUUUAAAUAAACUUGCAUAAAAAGAAUACCUUGCUCGAUAACUCAUAUGGAAACUUCACAACCUUUAUUAAAAAGAAUGAAUCAUAUUAUUACAGUUUCGUCUAUUUAAUCCCUUUAUUUCCAAAACCUCAAUCCAAGUUUUCAUUUAUCUUUGCAAAAAUUCAUCUUCCAAAUCACCACCAGUUGAACUUUUUUCCUGUACAGGAACCCUGUUGGAACCUGAAGAUGGUAUUUUGUGUUUUCUGCCACUAUUAAAGCGUUCUUCCAUCUCGGCCCAAAUGCGAUUUCGAGUUUCUUCGGUCUGUUCAGAUGUGCCUUCUGCGUAGAGUGAAACAUACUUUGUUAAAGGGGGGUAUUCCUAAAUAGGUUAGUAUCUUAGCCAAGUUGAUAGUUGAAAUGAAGUCGAAAAUACAAACAUACUUUAAUAUACAUAAGAUCAAUUUGACAUUUACGCAUCGAUUUCUCACACUGCUUGCGUUUCUCAUCAUCCAUAGUUUCAUCCUUCAAAGAUUUUUCCAAUUGUUUAAUACGUCGUUCUGCUUUUUUACGUUCUGAGAAAAUCAGUAAGCAAGUUCACUGAACAAAAAAUGCUGUUUUUAUAUAUGUUUCAUACCAAAAAAUCGAACUUU
Molecule: non-coding RNA, 960 nt
Organism: Schizosaccharomyces pombe (fission yeast)
Lineage: Eukaryota; Fungi; Ascomycota; Schizosaccharomycetes; Schizosaccharomycetales; Schizosaccharomycetaceae
Source: the annotation of a GenBank genome assembly